This 1535-nucleotide ribosomal RNA is filed under the name Enterococcus hirae. RNAcentral's name for it is "16S ribosomal RNA". It matches the Rfam family "Bacterial small subunit ribosomal RNA". Lineage: Bacteria; Bacillati; Bacillota; Bacilli; Lactobacillales; Enterococcaceae. The record is from RNAcentral.
CCUGGCUCAGGACGAACGCUGGCGGCGUGCCUAAUACAUGCAAGUCGAACGCUUCUUUUUCCACCGGAGCUUGCUCCACCGGAAAAAGAGGAGUGGCGAACGGGUGAGUAACACGUGGGUAACCUGCCCAUCAGAAGGGGAUAACACUUGGAAACAGGUGCUAAUACCGUAUAACAAUCGAAACCGCAUGGUUUUGAUUUGAAAGGCGCUUUCGGGUGUCGCUGAUGGAUGGACCCGCGGUGCAUUAGCUAGUUGGUGAGGUAACGGCUCACCAAGGCGACGAUGCAUAGCCGACCUGAGAGGGUGAUCGGCCACAUUGGGACUGAGACACGGCCCAAACUCCUACGGGAGGCAGCAGUAGGGAAUCUUCGGCAAUGGACGAAAGUCUGACCGAGCAACGCCGCGUGAGUGAAGAAGGUUUUCGGAUCGUAAAACUCUGUUGUUAGAGAAGAACAAGGAUGAGAGUAACUGUUCAUCCCUUGACGGUAUCUAACCAGAAAGCCACGGCUAACUACGUGCCAGCAGCCGCGGUAAUACGUAGGUGGCAAGCGUUGUCCGGAUUUAUUGGGCGUAAAGCGAGCGCAGGCGGUUUCUUAAGUCUGAUGUGAAAGCCCCCGGCUCAACCGGGGAGGGUCAUUGGAAACUGGGAGACUUGAGUGCAGAAGAGGAGAGUGGAAUUCCAUGUGUAGCGGUGAAAUGCGUAGAUAUAUGGAGGAACACCAGUGGCGAAGGCGGCUCUCUGGUCUGUAACUGACGCUGAGGCUCGAAAGCGUGGGGAGCAAACAGGAUUAGAUACCCUGGUAGUCCACGCCGUAAACGAUGAGUGCUAAGUGUUGGAGGGUUUCCGCCCUUCAGUGCUGCAGCUAACGCAUUAAGCACUCCGCCUGGGGAGUACGACCGCAAGGUUGAAACUCAAAGGAAUUGACGGGGGCCCGCACAAGCGGUGGAGCAUGUGGUUUAAUUCGAAGCAACGCGAAGAACCUUACCAGGUCUUGACAUCCUUUGACCACUCUAGAGAUAGAGCUUCCCCUUCGGGGGCAAAGUGACAGGUGGUGCAUGGUUGUCGUCAGCUCGUGUCGUGAGAUGUUGGGUUAAGUCCCGCAACGAGCGCAACCCUUAUUGUUAGUUGCCAUCAUUUAGUUGGGCACUCUAGCAAGACUGCCGGUGACAAACCGGAGGAAGGUGGGGAUGACGUCAAAUCAUCAUGCCCCUUAUGACCUGGGCUACACACGUGCUACAAUGGGAAGUACAACGAGUCGCAAAGUCGCGAGGCUAAGCUAAUCUCUUAAAGCUUCUCUCAGUUCGGAUUGUAGGCUGCAACUCGCCUACAUGAAGCCGGAAUCGCUAGUAAUCGCGGAUCAGCACGCCGCGGUGAAUACGUUCCCGGGCCUUGUACACACCGCCCGUCACACCACGAGAGUUUGUAACACCCGAAGUCGGUGAGGUAACCUUUUGGAGCCAGCCGCCUAAGGUGGGAUAGAUGAUUGGGGUGAAGUCGUAACAAGGUAGCCGUAUCGGAAGGUGCGGCUGGAUCA